UGCCAAAAUUAUACGUGUCCCUGAAAACAUGGUGUAUAUAGUAAACCUAACUAUACCCCUCAAUACACACACAUGCACCCUACAGCUUUUAUACAUCUAAAUAUACUACAUCCCCUAAUACACAAUGCAAACCCAAUUUUUACAACGGAGGUCAGUGGGGGCCACAUGUCUAAGUUUCGCUUAAGGUCUCAUAAAACCGAGAGCCGCCACAGUACGACGCAAAUUGUCCGCCUCCACCACCACCACAGACUUUUCAAAGAGGAAUGACAUUCUUGAUUCGCAGCUUAUUAUAGCACUGCCUGUUUAGCCCAAAGCUUAGAUUCUACAUAAAGAAUGUGCUUUUACUUUUGCCUUAGCCCCUGGCAAUGAAUUCAGACAUUUUAUUGGCCAGGGCCCUUUUAACUUACCUAUUGUGAUUUUUUUCAGUUAUGCACUUGAUUCUGACCCUAUUUGCUUUAUCCCUACAAUUCCUGGAUAAGAAUAGAUUUGAAAAAAACAAAAAAAACAACACAUAUAAAACAUGAAAAAUUUUUCUUCAAACCGUCAGGAAAUAAACAUUUUUAUGUG
This is a non-coding RNA of Pelobates cultripes (western spadefoot toad), 567 nucleotides long. The record is from the annotation of a GenBank genome assembly. NCBI's taxonomy places the organism in Eukaryota, Metazoa, Chordata, Amphibia, Anura, Pelobatidae.